RNAcentral lists this ribosomal RNA (385 nucleotides) under uncultured bacterium. Its description in RNAcentral is "bacterial SSU rRNA". It matches the Rfam family "Bacterial small subunit ribosomal RNA", at positions 30 to 429 of the family's 1533-position model. The record is from RNAcentral.
AUUGAACGCUGGCGGCAGGCUUAACACAUGCAAGUCGAGCGGAGACUUCGGUCUUAGCGGCGAACGGGUGAGUAACACCUAGGAAUCUGCCUAUUAGUGGGGGAUAACGUGUGGAAACGCACGCUAAUACCGCAUACGUCCUACGGGAGAAAGCAGGGGAUCUUCGGACCUUGCGCUAAUAGAUGAGCCUAGGCCGGAUUAGCUAGUUGGUGGGGUAAAGGCCUACCAAGGCGACGAUCUGUAGCUGGUCUGAGAGGAUGGCCAGCCACACUGGAACUGAGACACGGUCCAGACUCCUACGGGAGGCAGCAGUGGGGAAUAUUGGACAAUGGGGGCAACCCUGAUCCAGCCAUGCCGCGUGUGUGAAGAAGGCCUCGGUUGUAAG